This 378-nucleotide ribosomal RNA is filed under the name uncultured bacterium. RNAcentral's name for it is "bacterial SSU rRNA". It matches the Rfam family "Bacterial small subunit ribosomal RNA", at positions 521 to 898 of the family's 1533-position model. The record is from RNAcentral.
UAAUACGUAGGGGGCAAGCGUUGUCCGGAAUCAUUGGGCGUAAAGCGCGCGCAGGCGGUCCCUUAAGUCUGAUGUGAAAGCCCACGGCUCAACCGUGGAGGGCCAUUGGAAACUGGGGGACUUGAGUGCAGGAGAGGAGAGUAGAAUUCCUGGUGUAGCGGUGAAAUGCGUAGAGAUCAGGAGGAACACCGAUGGCGAAGGCAGCUCUCUGGCCUGUAACUGACGCUGAGGCGCGAAAGCGUGGGGAGCAAACAGGAUUAGAUACCCUGGUAGUCCACGCCGUAAACGAUGAGUGCUAGGUGUUAGAGGUUUUGAACCUUUAGUGCCGAAGUUAACACAUUAAGCACUCCGCCUGGGGAGUACGGUCGCAAGACUGAA